UCGGGAAUAUUGCACAAUGGGGGAAACCCUGAUGCAGCGACGCCGCGUGAGUGAUGAAGGCCUUCGGGUCGUAAAGCUCUGUUGAACGGGAAGAAACAAAUGACGGUACCGUUUAAGAAAGGAUCGGCUAACUUCGUGCCAGCAGCCGCGGUAAUACGAGGGAUCCUAGCGUUGUUCGGAAUCAUUGGGCGUAAAGAGUAUGUAGGCGGCCUAGUAAGUCAGUUGUGAAAGCCCCGGGCUCAACCCGGGAAGUGCAAUUGAUACUGCUUGGCUUGAAUGUGGAAGAGGGCAGUAGAAUUCCAGGUGUAGUGGUGAAAUACGUAGAUAUCUGGAGGAAUACCGGUGGCGAAGGCGGCUGCCUGGUCCUACAUUGACGCUGAGAUACGAAAGCGUGGGGAGCAAACAGGAUUAGAUACCCUUGUAGUCCCUGAGCGGGCUGGCAAGGCGCAU
RNAcentral lists this ribosomal RNA (450 nucleotides) under uncultured bacterium. RNAcentral describes it as "bacterial SSU rRNA". It matches the Rfam family "Bacterial small subunit ribosomal RNA", at positions 355 to 825 of the family's 1533-position model. The record is from RNAcentral.